RNAcentral lists this small nuclear RNA (299 nucleotides) under Heterocephalus glaber (naked mole-rat). Its description in RNAcentral is "7SK RNA". It matches the Rfam family "7SK RNA". From Rfam's summary of the family: 7SK was discovered as an abundant small nuclear RNA in the mid-70s but a possible function has only recently been suggested. The record is from Rfam by way of RNAcentral. Lineage: Eukaryota; Metazoa; Chordata; Mammalia; Rodentia; Bathyergidae.
AAAAGGGCAAUCUGGCUGCAACACUUGUCACCUCAUCAGUCACCAGGGUUGAUUUGGCUGAUCUGGCUGGCUAGGCGGGUGUGCCUUUCCUCCCUCACCACUCCAUGUGUGUCCUUCCUGAAACUGCACAUUCAGUUGAAGAGGAUGACCACCCCUGAUAGAGGAGGACCAUUUCCUCGGUCAAGGUUAUACCAGUUGCUGCACUCCCCUGCUAGAACCUCCAUACAAGUUCCCAAAAGGGAGGUUAAAUCAGCAUAUAUGUUUGUAAAGACAUUUUAGCAAUAUUGAUGAAUGUACUG